AUGGCUCUGUUAGGCAGAAGUGUCAGAGCUGGUUAUAGGAAAACCAGGCGGCACAUACAUGAUCCCAGACACCGAAGUAACCUCUGUCUCACUCCUCCACUUCCAGCAAGGGAUGGAAAACAAACUGAAACUGGCUCAAGUGAAGGCUCACUGGAAGGCUUACUGGAAAACUUACUGGAAGGAUGUGAGGAGAUGUUCGGGAAUCUAUUUGCAGAAAACAUGUUCAGCCCUGUCCACCACAGCCAGCUGGCUGAAGAGCUCAAAAGGCAAGAAAUCAGCAAGAGAGAGAUAUGAAGCAUGAGAAAUGAGCAAAAAACACCCAGCACAUCAUAAUCAUGGACAGUUUAGCAGUACAUGAAAAUAGAUGGUCCUCGCCCCAAGGGACUGCAGUAACCCUGAAUAAACAGGAUGUCUCUCACUUUUAGCAGUUCUUUCUGUGCUAGUAUUGGGGAAAUAUAUUUUUGGCUGCAUGCAAAAUGGUAAAAGACAUCUAUUAAGAAAAUGAAAACACUGCUUCUGUUUUAGACGAAGCUUUUGAAGGUUUAAGGAUCACCUAUUUAUUGACAAAAUUGUUUCCGUGGCUUAAAAAUAAAAUACAAACAAAUACUACAGGUAUUCUUGCCUUCUCAUUCUACUUAAAAUCACAUUUCCAAAGACUUUCUUCUCUACUUAAAAACAGGAAUUAAGAAAUACUCAAAAGAGAUCCUAGACAAAACUAACAUUUCAGCAACCAAAGAUAAAUCAUGCUUUUAGGGGAAGAUGCUAGGUUCUAGAAUCUCUCUGAACACCGUGUAGCACUAAGAAACUACAAUCACCGGCUGAGACCUUGAUCAAAUAAUGGCUAACAUAUAAGAUACUUAUUCUAGUCAGGCACACUUCUAAGAGCUGUAUAUCUGCUAAUUCAUUUAUUCUCCUAGGAUAUAAAGGAUCAGCAGAUCCUUCAGGCUCUGGUAUGUUCUGAGAUGAGUUAACCCAGAAAUUGUCAUCGAAAGACAGAUUCAGCAAAACGGAAACAGCCACCAUUUUAUGUAGAUGUCCCUGUGGCUUAGUGCUAGAGACCGGACAUUUGUGCCCUUAGGGGAAAAAUGAUGAGGUCAGAGCAGACUGGGAUCGAUCAGGUCUGGUGCUUUUAUUAUAGAUCCUGGAACCAAAGAUGAUCUUAUGGAAAGCCAGGUAGACAGUUCAGCUGAGGUAUUCAUCCAUAGAGACUGGCCAGAAAGGCACAGUUUGGGUUGAAAGUGUGGGCACAUGAGACCAAAGCAAGAGGGCUUGAAAAUGGGGUAGAUGCAGGAGACUGGAGAGAAGCCUCAGCCCCUGGGACAAAGUGGCAGGUGCUUUAUCCAGGGUGCUGGUGUCUGGAGCGCUUUGGGAGGACCCUGUGAAGGGCAUGGUGUCUCCAGCAAUGUUGGGUGUACCCUCCCAUAGUUCAGUGUUCCAGAAAAAGGAUGGGAAAAUUACAAGAAUAAUAGCAGGCAGAAGUUGUGCCAAAUUUCAUCCUAACACAAAAUGUGGUUAUAAACAAGGGUAAGGAGAGGGUUUUCAUCUCCUCCUUUAAUCCUGGAAAGCUCUGCUAGACUGUGAUUCAGUCUCUCUUUUUCUAGCAGUUCUGGGGUUGUGAUUCUUAAUAGUACCUCAACUAAUUUUUGGCAUCCUUAUUCUUGUGAUUACUAGGGAUUUUCAGUUGUUUAAACCCUACUUGGCUUUUUCUAAUGAGCACUAAUGCCAAGUUUUUAUCACUAAGCUCAUAGAUUUGUCAAAGAAAUGGUGAUACCAAGAAAUUCAUUGCAAGUUACUACCUGUAAUCCAUGUGUAGGGUGUUUGGUGUAUUGUGGUGUUCUUUAGUUUCUAAUUCCUUAUGUAGAUGUCUAAAAAAGUGUGACCUUUAUUUUUCUAUUAAGGACCAGAUAGUAGAUACUUCAGGCCCUUUGGGUAACACUCAACUCUGCCACGAUAGUGAGAAGCAGUCAUAGACAAAAACAUCUAAUAGGAGUGGCUGUGUGCAAUAAAAUCUUGUUCACAAAACAAGCAGUCGUAGGAUUUAAUAUGUGCUCCAUAACUGGUGAUUUUUGAUAUUAAUACAUAAACAAACAACCAGAAAAAUAAAUGUCAUACUAUCCAUGAGCAAUGUGGCUUUUUUGUUUUUGUUUUUGUUUUCUUUUUAACUUAGUCAAUUAAAAACAUUUUCUUUUUGGAGUCAGGGUUUCACUCCCAUCACCCAGGCUGGAGUGCAGUGGCACAAUCAUGAUUCACUGCAACCUUGACUUCCCAGGCUCAGGUGAUCCUCCCAUCUCAGCCUCCCAAUUAGCUGGGAGUACAGGUGUCCG
Pan paniscus (pygmy chimpanzee) is the source of this 2324-nucleotide long non-coding RNA. The record is from Ensembl. NCBI's taxonomy places the organism in Eukaryota, Metazoa, Chordata, Mammalia, Primates, Hominidae.